RNAcentral lists this ribosomal RNA (408 nucleotides) under uncultured bacterium. RNAcentral's name for it is "partial 16S ribosomal RNA". It matches the Rfam family "Bacterial small subunit ribosomal RNA", at positions 28 to 526 of the family's 1533-position model. The record is from RNAcentral.
GACGAACGCUGGCGGCGUGCUUAACACAUGCAAGUCGAACGAAGUGGCGAACGGGUGAGUAACGCGUAAUCAACCUGCCCUACACUAGAGGACAACAGUUGGAACCGGCUGCUAAUACUCUAUAGUGUAGGAUGAGGCUAUAUUGUAUCAGCUAGUUGGUGAGGUAAUGGCUCACCAAGGCUAUGACGCAUAACUGGUCUGAGAGGAUGAUCAGUCACACUGGAACUGAGGCACGGUCCGGACUCAAAGGGGAGGCAGCAGUAGGGAAUAGUGCUCAAUGGGGGAAAACCUGAAGCAGCAACGGGGCGUGGAGGAUGACACUUUUCGGAGAGUAAACUCCUUUUGUUAGGGAAGCGGUACCUAACGAAUAAGCACCGGCUAACUCCGUGCCAGCCGCCGCGGUAAUAC